GCAUCUUUUUGUUAUUAAAGAAUUUCGAUAACCGAUGGGGAUGCGUUCCAUUAGUUUGUUGGCGGGGUAACGGCCCACCAAGACAUCGAUGGAUAGGGGUUCUGAGAGGAAGGUCCCCCACAUUGGAACUGAGACACGGUCCAAACUCCUACGGGAGGCAGCAGUGAGGAAUAUUGGUCAAUGGACGAGAGUCUGAACCAGCCAAGUAGCGUGAAGGAUGACUGCCCUAUGGGUUGUAAACUUCUUUUAUAUGGGAAUAAAGUGAGCCACGUGUGGCUUUUUGUAUGUACCAUACGAAUAAGGAUCGGCUAACUCCGUGCCAGCAGCCGCGGUAAUACGGAGGAUCCGAGCGUUAUCCGGAUUUAUUGGGUUUAAAGGGAGCGUAGGCGGACUAUUAAGUCAGCUGUGAAAGUUUGCGGCUCAACCGUAAAAUUGCAGUUGAUACUGGUCGUCUUGAGUGCAGUAGAGGUAGGCGGAAUUCGUGGUGUAGCGGUGAAAUGCUUAGAUAUCACGAAGAACUCCGAUUGCGAAGGCAGCUUACUGGACUGUAACUGACGCUGAUGCUCGAAAGUGUGGGUAUCAAACAGGAUUAGAUACCCUGGUAGUCCACACAGUAAACGAUGAAUACUCGCUGUUUGCGAUAUACAGCAAGCGGCC
Molecule: ribosomal RNA, 657 nt
Filed under: uncultured bacterium
Lineage: Bacteria
Description: bacterial SSU rRNA
Rfam family: Bacterial small subunit ribosomal RNA
Source: RNAcentral